RNAcentral lists this ribosomal RNA (723 nucleotides) under Bacillus sp. SP48. Its description in RNAcentral is "bacterial SSU rRNA". It matches the Rfam family "Bacterial small subunit ribosomal RNA", at positions 44 to 750 of the family's 1533-position model. Lineage: Bacteria; Bacillati; Bacillota; Bacilli; Caryophanales; Bacillaceae. The record is from RNAcentral.
GUGCCUAAUACAUGCAAGUCCAGCGGACGGAUGGGAGCUUGCUCCCUGAAGUCAGCGGCGGACGGGUGAGUAACACGUGGGCAACCUGCCUGUAAGACUGGGAUAACUUCGGGAAACCGGAGCUAAUACCGGAUAAUGCAUUUCCCCUCAUGGGGAUAUGCUGAAAGAUGGUUUCGGCUAUCACUUACAGAUGGGCCCGCGGCGCAUUAGCUAGUUGGUGAGGUAACGGCUCACCAAGGCAACGAUGCGUAGCCGACCUGAGAGGGUGAUCGGCCACACUGGGACUGAGACACGGCCCAGACUCCUACGGGAGGCAGCAGUAGGGAAUCUUCCGCAAUGGACGAAAGUCUGACGGAGCAACGCCGCGUGAGUGAUGAAGGUUUUCGGAUCGUAAAACUCUGUUGUCAGGGAAGAACAAGUGCCGGAGUAACUGCCGGCACCUUGACGGUACCUGACCAGAAAGCCACGGCUAACUACGUGCCAGCAGCCGCGGUAAUACGUAGGUGGCAAGCGUUGUCCGGAAUUAUUGGGCGUAAAGCGCGCGCAGGCGGUCUCUUAAGUCUGAUGUGAAAGCCCACGGCUCAACCGUGGAGGGUCAUUGGAAACUGGGGGACUUGAGUGCAGAAGAGGAAAGUGGAAUUCCACGUGUAGCGGUGAAAUGCGUAGAGAUGUGGAGGAACACCAGUGGCGAAAGCGACUUUCUGGUCUGUAACUGACGCUGAG